CAGAUAAAAUGGUGCUGGCCAAGUGGAAAGCUGAUUUGUUUAAUAAGAUUAGGGUGGAGUGGCCAGCCUUCCCUGUGUGCUAUGUAAACGUCACACCGUUCCAACCAAUCUGUGAGCCCUGUGUAACUCAGACACCGCCUCCUCAAGCCUGCCUAUGAAAUCCGGUGCACUCCACCACCGGCCAGUCUUUUCCUCUCAGAAGCCCCUCUCUCACGCUAGAAAGAGAGUUAUUUUCCUUUGUCUUUCUUUUGCCUAUUAAACCUCUGCUCCUAAACUCCUCCUCGUGUGUAUCUGAGUCCUAAAUCUUCUUUGCACAAGACAACGAACCCCGGCUACUUACCCCAGAGAACAGUGUCACUUCACAUGAACUUUGAGAGGAAGAGAAGAGACACCAGCGAUACACAUGCAUAGAAGAAAAACAAUGUAAGACACAGUGAGAAAAUGGCCAUUGAAAGCCAAGGAGAGAAGCCUCAGGAGAAAUCAAAACUACCAACACCUUGAUCUUGGACUUCCAGCUUCCAAAACCAGGAGAAAAUUAAUUUCUGUUGUUUAAGCCACCCAGGUAUUUUGUUUAUGGCAGCCCUAGAAGACUAAUAGAAUACAUUAUAUUGAAUUUAUGUGUACCUAUCUUUUUUCAAGUAGACCAUGAAUCAGAAAAAGGUCAAUUCCAUUCCUACUUUGUAUUUCUAGCAUCCAAUACAGCU
This 704-nucleotide long non-coding RNA is filed under the name Homo sapiens (human). Its description in RNAcentral is "HSALNT0376763". Lineage: Eukaryota; Metazoa; Chordata; Mammalia; Primates; Hominidae. The record is from RNAcentral.